AUGACUAAAAACAACUUACUUAAAAGGGGGAUUGAUAAGAACCCAUACUGUUUGUUCUGCUCUGAGCAGGAGACUAUAGACCAUUUGUUUUUUGGCUGUGUGGUUGCUAAGAACAUCUGGAGCGAAGUCUCUACAUUCUUAUCCACGGAUAUAGGAUCUAGUUAUUUUUCCAUUGCCAAGUUUUGGCCUGCUAACAAGAAACAUGAAGUGCUGAAUGCUUUUUGUGCUUGUGUCUUGUGGAGCUUAUGGAAAACUAGAAAUAAACAUGUUUUUGAUAAUGCUGUUUGGUCUGACACUAAACAGAUUUGGUGGCUGAUCUGGAAGACCCUCAAGAGGUGGAUGAUUCUGUACACCAGCGAGUCUCUCAAAAAAAUGCAGAUGAUGCUGGAUUGGGUAUCCUGCAUUCCCAAGGCUCCCCUUCAGUUGACCUCGGGAUGA
This 438-nucleotide ribosomal RNA is filed under the name Triticum aestivum (bread wheat). RNAcentral describes it as "partial small subunit ribosomal RNA". The record is from RNAcentral. Lineage: Eukaryota; Viridiplantae; Streptophyta; Magnoliopsida; Poales; Poaceae.